UUACGACUACAUAUCAGGCAUAUCAAUAAGCGGAGGAAAAGAAACUAACAAGGAUUCCCCUAGUAACGGCGAGUGAAGCGGGAAGAGCUCAAAUUUGAAAUCUUAAAGGGUUUCCCUUUACGAAUUGUAGUUUAAAGAAGUGUUUUCUGUUGGAGUUUCGGUAAAAGUUCUUUGGAAUAGGACAUCAUAGAGGGUGAGAAUCCCGUAUUUGACCGUUACUUUCCAGCUGUGUGAUACACUUUCAAAGAGUCGGAUUGUUUGGGAAUGCAGUCCAAGAUGGGUGGUAAAUUUCAUCUAAAGCUAAAUAUUGGCGAGAGACCGAUAGCGAACAAGUACCGUGAGGGAAAGAUGAAAAGAACUUUGAAAAGAGAGUUAAACAGUACGUGAAAUUGUCAAAAGGGAAGCGUUUGACACCAGUGUUGUUUUUCCAAAAAUCAAUUACGAAUGGCUUGAUUUUGUGUUGUAUUGACCUUAUCAGCUUUCUUCACUUUUUUCGAGUCUUUCUUAAUGCACUUUUUGGUUAACAAGUCAACAUCAAUUUCUUUUGUUGUAAAAGAGUAUUCGGAAGGUGGCUUUCUUUUCGGAGAAAGUGUUUAUAGCCCUAUACUUCUACAAUCGGAGAGAUUGAGGUCUGCAGCGUAGAUCCUUCGGGGUUAGAUACACUUGUGCUAAGUUGUAGCUUUUCAUAGACAACUUGUUGACUAUGUUUAGUCAUGCGGCUUACUCGCUUGUGCUAUUUUACCUACGCUUAGGAUGUUGAGUAGCGACAUACGCAC
Molecule: ribosomal RNA, 776 nt
Filed under: uncultured Neocallimastigales
Lineage: Eukaryota; Fungi; Neocallimastigomycota; Neocallimastigomycetes; Neocallimastigales
Description: partial large subunit ribosomal RNA
Rfam family: Eukaryotic large subunit ribosomal RNA
Source: RNAcentral